Malurus melanocephalus (red-backed fairy wren) is the source of this 3806-nucleotide long non-coding RNA. RefSeq lists it as uncharacterized. NCBI's taxonomy places the organism in Eukaryota, Metazoa, Chordata, Aves, Passeriformes, Maluridae. The transcript has 2 exons. The record is from RefSeq and is a predicted model, not a curated record.
AAUGUAGAUGCAGCCAGGCAGGGUCUAGCACUGAAAUUCGAAAUUUUAACCCUCAAUUUUAAAUAUUUUUUAAAAUAUUUUAAAAUAGGUGGGUCUGGGCAGGUGUAGCUGCCUCAGCUCGUGCCGUGCUGUGCUCAGGGUCACCUUGUCCUGGGUCACGGGGAAUUUUUGCAGCUGAAAUUUUUCUCUUCAAAAAAACCCUCAAAUAAUAUGUUUUCCCUGUACAAAAUAUAAAAAAAUAAAUAAAUAAAACACAAACUAGGUCUUUUAUACACGCAGCUGUUCCCAUCCUCCUCCUCCUCCUCAGCAAAUGCUAAAAUUAUCUGGGAACAGAUUCUAUUUGAGUUCAAAAUUACUACAAUUUCAAUAAAAUAUUUGUGCAAAAAGUUCAAACGAGCAAAUUUCUGCAUCCUUCAGUGGUAAAAACUAAAAUUUAAUUUUGGACAAGUUUUGCUGCGCUCCCCUUGUGUUUUGGGAAGCCCAGACAGGUUCAGGAGCUGAAUAUUACAAAAUUAUAUUUUCUAAAUGUUCUCUGCUGAAGAAAGUUUGGAUUCUGUCACAUUUUUUUCUGACUGGAGAAACUCGGUUUGUGUUUUAUCAACAACAGAAGCUCUUUGGGUGAUUUUUGAUUCGAUGAUGAAACUUCCCACCAUGUCAGCAGCGUCCAAAACUUUCCAAAAUCAAAUUUCUCACCCUUUGCAGGAAAUUUUCAAUAAAUUCCCCGAAAAUAAAUAACUCCUGGCUUUCCCAGCUCUUUCCUAUUCUUAGAAUGGCUGCAGUUGCUGUGCUCCCAGACCAUUAACUUCCUUUUUUUUUUGUGUUUGUGGAGUUUUUGUUUGGCCGUUUCCAUCCCCAACUGAACCCACGUGGAUUAGUUUCCAGGUGGGAGGAGGAAGAAACCCAGGAAAUAAAUUGAGGCAGGAAAUAAAGGAAGGAGGAAUUAAGGAGAUAAAUCAAGGGAGGAAGUGAAGGAGGAAGAAAAUUAAAGAAAAAAAAAAAGAUCAAGUGAGGAAACCAUUUGGAAAUGAGGAGCAGCAGCUGGCCUGGGCGAAGAGGGAGAGUGAAAAAGCAGAGCAAGAAAGAUUGGCUCGGUUACGGCGACAAGAACAGGAAGACCUCGAGUUGGCCAUUGCACUCAGUAAGGCUGACAUGCCAAACUCCUAAAAUUUGGGGCUCUGGAGAAAGGAAAAAAACCUCGCAGCAAGGCUUUUAUAAAAUUACUAAACCCUUGGUUGAUCUUGUGAAAAGUUCUUUUAGUCACCUUGAGAUGCGAGCGCGAAAAAAACCCCGCAGGAAGCGCUGUAUAAUCUGUAUUAUAAUUGUUCUAGAUCCAAUUUAUUGCUUGUAAGAAAUUUUAACGUGUAACCCCCUAAAAUGCUGAAAAGUUUCUUUCUCUGCAACCCAGAGUGAGCUGCAGCUGGUGAUUUUGAUGGGCUGAAUUCCACGGGGUCUUGGAGGCUGCGGGAUGAAUUUCCCACAAAAUUGCCAUGAAAAAAAUGAGAAUAUUCAUAGAAUUAGCUUUCACUUGUUGCAUUUAUUUAAAAAUUCGUGGUUGGCUAAUCAGGAUGUCUUCUGCAUCAUUAUGGCAAGGCAUAAAUUGAUUAUUGGAUUUUAUCCARGAUGUCUUCUGCAUCAUUAUGKCAAGGCAUAARUUGAUUAUUGGGUUUUAUCCAGAAGAUGUGGCUUUUUACAGAAGAAUCUGGAAAUGUAGAUGGAUACAAAACAGCGAAUUUUGUAAAACAGAACAAAUUUAAAAGCUCUAGAAAUUAGCAGAAAUUAGAAAUUCUUCUAAUGGAAACAUUUGUUUGCGUUGAGUUUUAAUAAUUGUGACUAAAAGUUAAUUCAGCUGUGGUAAAUGGGAUAAAUAAUCCAGCAGUGGAGGGAUGAAGUGAAAAUUGUGCUUUGCUGGAAGCUGACAGGAUUUUCAGGGUGCUGCUGAUGCACCUUUGGGUGCUGCUUUCAUCCAGAAAUCAAGAAAUGGAAAAGUUGACAAAAAAUUUGAGGAGUUUUCACCCCUCCAACUCAUUGUAGCUUCAUUUCCUCCAACUCCCAGCACCCAGCCCGGGCUGUGUCACCCUCUGGGACCGUCCCUCCUUCAAUUCCCCCUCUUUGGGGUUACAAUUUAGCAGAUUUAGCUGAGCUAAAGCCAAAUUGAAUCCAUUUUUAGUUGCCAAAUUCACAUUCACCCAUCAGUUCUGGCAGCACUGGUGGUCUGGGCUGGCUCUGAAAUGCAAUUUUGCAGCAUUCAGACCAGGGAGGAGCAGGUUUUGUGUGCACUGAAUUUUUCACCUGUGAAGGACAGCAGAGAGGGUGUUUGACUUGUCAUAGGAAAAAAAAAAAAUAACUCUGUGAAUUUAAUUUGCUUCCUAGAAAUGCCUUUUCUGAUUACAGGAAUUCCAGAAUUUCAGUUGUGUUUGCCUUGGAGUUUUCUCUCCUAGAGUAGGGAUCCAGCAGAACAUUUUUAAACGUCCUCAGUCUUUUUUCCUGCCCUUUGUUCUCUGGGAAUACAAAGCUUUACAUUCUGGGUUUUAUCCAUGCAGCCCUGACCUUACAACAUUUUCUCUAAUUUUUUUCUUUUAUUUCUUUUUAAUGUGAUGUUCCUUCAUCACCUUUCACCCAUUUCUAUUUUUUAUUUCCUUUUCACCCUCCAAUGUUAGUGCCUGUUGAGUGAAUGAAAACAAAUCUUUCCCAGUUCUGUUGGGGUUUGCCUUAUCCCGAGUGUUUUUCCCUCACCAGAUCAGAUCCUUUUGGGGCAUCUCGAUGGUUUUCAGCUCUGAAAUGCAGCCAAAUUGUGACAUUUGGAAUCUCAGGAUUUUGUGAUCCACUUUUGGGAUGGUUUUUUUAGGAAUCACAGCUCCCCUUUUGCUAAUGGUACCACAAUUAAUGCGAACCUUUUCUCCUCAGGAGGGGAGAAGAUUUAUUUUUAAUACCAAAACCAACGGUGUAAUGAUCAUUAAUCCUGUCCUUUAAUGAGCCCUCUGGGAUGCAAUGGAAGCUAUUUGUGAUUUGGCAGAGCCUGAUUUGAAAUCCCUUCCCCUUUGUGGUUGUUUUUCUCUAAAAUGUGUUUGAUGACGUGAUCAAACAUCCUAAAAUGUAAAAAAAAAAAAUCUGUUGGUGUAGAGGAUUUGAAGUCUGUGAGAGCUGACUUGGAUCUGUGUAGAUACCACAAUAUAAAACUUUUGCCGUGAAAGAGCAAUUUUCCAAAGCAAUUUUUCCAAUAAAAUUUAGAAAGGAAUGCCAGUUCUGUCCUGGGUGAUGUCACCCCAGUGGGACAGGGACUUUGACUGAACACCUUGAUUCAUUUUUUAAGCUCUGCACCUUAACAAGACUUUCUGCUGCUUUGUCAGAGCACUAAAAUACUGAAUUUAUAAUUCUUCCAAGCCACUGAGAUGGUGUUUUCCAGAUGUCCAGCAGGGAGGCAGAAGGGUGAAUUAAUCCAGCAUUCUUUUAUCAUGUUGGGCUCAUUUUUAUAUUUCUUUAUUAAAUCUUCCUCGUAUUUGCUUGAAGGACAGAACACAACACGUUUUCUAUGCAGAAUUAGAUUUAGGAACCUCAAUUUUACUGAAACACUCUUGAUUCAAAAGGUUAGAACACUUAGAUGUGAUUCCUCACUUUGUAUUUCCUGUGGUUUUCCAUAAAAAAAAGGAAGAUUCCCCACAUUCUUUCCCUGUGCAGUAAUUGAGUGUUUGUACAACACCUGCCCUUUCUCUCUGAGGCAAAACUCUUUGUAAAAACCUGAAUUUUCUUCCUCCAGAACAGCCAAAUUCAAAGCACAAGCAGACCUGCUGCUAUUUGGGCAGAGAAAA